This 346-nucleotide unclassified non-coding RNA is filed under the name soil metagenome. Its description in RNAcentral is "partial contains 5.8S ribosomal RNA, internal transcribed spacer 2, and large subunit ribosomal RNA". The stretch from base 1 to 120 matches the Rfam family "5.8S ribosomal RNA", at positions 35 to 154 of the family's 154-position model. The record is from RNAcentral.
GAUGAAGAACGCAGCAAAAUGCGAUAAGUAAUGUGAAUUGCAGAAUUCAGUGAAUCAUCGAAUCUUUGAACGCACAUUGCGCCCGCUGGUAUUCCGGCGGGCAUGCCUGUUCGAGCGUCAUUUCAACCCUCAAGCCCCCGGGUUUGGUGUUGGGGAUCGGCUCUGCCUUCUGGUGGUGCCGCCCCCGAAAUACAUUGGCGGUCUCGCUGCAGCCUCCAUUGCGUAGUAGCUAACACCUCGCAACUGGAACGCGGCGCGGCCAUGCCGUAAAACCCCAACUUCUGAAUGUUGACCUCGGAUCAGGUAGGAAUACCCGCUGAACUUAAGCAUAUCAAUAAGCGGAGGA